GUGAGCCCAGGGCAAGGCCGCUGCACCUGCGCCAGGGAUGCUUGAAAUCCACCGAAAGGGGACAGCCACGUGCUUCCCCUCAGGGAUGGAGAGCCUGAGUUGGGUGUGGACCUCAACACUUCCUGAAAGUGAAAACUGAAAGUGUUUGGACAAACUGAGGAGAAGAGUGUGGCCCUCUUUACCCCACUCCGUAAAAGACACUGUGAUCAAGAUUUCUGUUAGAGAGAAAAGAGAAGAGAAGGGAAAAAGGAAGAAGAGA
This 259-nucleotide long non-coding RNA is filed under the name Homo sapiens (human). RNAcentral describes it as "HSALNT0082246". Lineage: Eukaryota; Metazoa; Chordata; Mammalia; Primates; Hominidae. The record is from RNAcentral.